This 2645-nucleotide ribosomal RNA is filed under the name Escherichia coli. RNAcentral's name for it is "partial 23S ribosomal RNA". It matches the Rfam family "Bacterial large subunit ribosomal RNA". Lineage: Bacteria; Pseudomonadati; Pseudomonadota; Gammaproteobacteria; Enterobacterales; Enterobacteriaceae. The record is from RNAcentral.
UUCGACACACUAUCAUUAACUGAAUCCAUAGGUUAAUGAGGCGAACCGGGGGAACUGAAACAUCUAAGUACCCCGAGGAAAAGAAAUCAACCGAGAUUCCCCCAGUAGCGGCGAGCGAACGGGGAGCAGCCCAGAGCCUGAAUCAGUGUGUGUGUUAGUGGAAGCGUCUGGAAAGGCGCGCGAUACAGGGUGACAGCCCCGUACACAAAAAUGCACAUACUGUGAGCUCGAUGAGUAGGGCGGGACACGUGGUAUCCUGUCUGAAUAUGGGGGGACCAUCCUCCAAGGCUAAAUACUCCUGACUGACCGAUAGUGAACCAGUACCGUGAGGGAAAGGCGAAAAGAACCCCGGCGAGGGGAGUGAAAAAGAACCUGAAACCGUGUACGUACAAGCAGUGGGAGCCUCUUUAUGGGGUGACUGCGUACCUUUUGUAUAAUGGGUCAGCGACUUAUAUUCUGUAGCAAGGUUAACCGAAUAGGGGAGCCGAAGGGAAACCGAGUCUUAACUGGGCGUUAAGUUGCAGGGUAUAGACCCGAAACCCGGUGAUCUAGCCAUGGGCAGGUUGAAGGUUGGGUAACACUAACUGGAGGACCGAACCGACUAAUGUUGAAAAAUUAGCGGAUGACUUGUGGCUGGGGGUGAAAGGCCAAUCAAACCGGGAGAUAGCUGGUUCUCCCCGAAAGCUAUUUAGGUAGCGCCUCGUGAAUUCAUCUCCGGGGGUAGAGCACUGUUUCGGCAAGGGGGUCAUCCCGACUUACCAACCCGAUGCAAACUGCGAAUACCGGAGAAUGUUAUCACGGGAGACACACGGCGGGUGCUAACGUCCGUCGUGAAGAGGGAAACAACCCAGACCGCCAGCUAAGGUCCCAAAGUCAUGGUUAAGUGGGAAACGAUGUGGGAAGGCCCAGACAGCCAGGAUGUUGGCUUAGAAGCAGCCAUCAUUUAAAGAAAGCGUAAUAGCUCACUGGUCGAGUCGGCCUGCGCGGAAGAUGUAACGGGGCUAAACCAUGCACCGAAGCUGCGGCAGCGACACUAUGUGUUGUUGGGUAGGGGAGCGUUCUGUAAGCCUGCGAAGGUGUACUGUGAGGUAUGCUGGAGGUAUCAGAAGUGCGAAUGCUGACAUAAGUAACGAUAAAGCGGGUGAAAAGCCCGCUCGCCGGAAGACCAAGGGUUCCUGUCCAACGUUAAUCGGGGCAGGGUGAGUCGACCCCUAAGGCGAGGCCGAAAGGCGUAGUCGAUGGGAAACAGGUUAAUAUUCCUGUACUUGGUGUUACUGCGAAGGGGGGACGGAGAAGGCUAUGUUGGCCGGGCGACGGUUGUCCCGGUUUAAGCGUGUAGGCUGGUUUUCCAGGCAAAUCCGGAAAAUCAAGGCUGAGGCGUGAUGACGAGGCACUACGGUGCUGAAGCAACAAAUGCCCUGCUUCCAGGAAAAGCCUCUAAGCAUCAGGUAACAUCAAAUCGUACCCCAAACCGACACAGGUGGUCAGGUAGAGAAUACCAAGGCGCUUGAGAGAACUCGGGUGAAGGAACUAGGCAAAAUGGUGCCGUAACUUCGGGAGAAGGCACGCUGAUAUGUAGGUGAAGCGACUUGCUCGUGGAGCUGAAAUCAGUCGAAGAUACCAGCUGGCUGCAACUGUUUAUUAAAAACACAGCACUGUGCAAACACGAAAGUGGACGUAUACGGUGUGACGCCUGCCCGGUGCCGGAAGGUUAAUUGAUGGGGUUAGCGGUAACGCGAAGCUCUUGAUCGAAGCCCCGGUAAACGGCGGCCGUAACUAUAACGGUCCUAAGGUAGCGAAAUUCCUUGUCGGGUAAGUUCCGACCUGCACGAAUGGCGUAAUGAUGGCCAGGCUGUCUCCACCCGAGACUCAGUGAAAUUGAACUCGCUGUGAAGAUGCAGUGUACCCGCGGCAAGACGGAAAGACCCCGUGAACCUUUACUAUAGCUUGACACUGAACAUUGAGCCUUGAUGUGUAGGAUAGGUGGGAGGCUUUGAAGUGUGGACGCCAGUCUGCAUGGAGCCGACCUUGAAAUACCACCCUUUAAUGUUUGAUGUUCUAACGUUGGCCCCUGAUCGGGGUUGCGGACAGUGUCUGGUGGGUAGUUUGACUGGGGCGGUCUCCUCCUAAAGAGUAACGGAGGAGCACGAAGGUUGGCUAAUCCUGGUCGGACAUCAGGAGGUUAGUGCAAUGGCAUAAGCCAGCUUGACUGCGAGCGUGACGGCGCGAGCAGGUGCGAAAGCAGGUCAUAGUGAUCCGGUGGUUCUGAAUGGAAGGGCCAUCGCUCAACGGAUAAAAGGUACUCCGGGGAUAACAGGCUGAUACCGCCCAAGAGUUCAUAUCGACGGCGGUGUUUGGCACCUCGAUGUCGGCUCAUCACAUCCUGGGGCUGAAGUAGGUCCCAAGGGUAUGGCUGUUCGCCAUUUAAAGUGGUACGCGAGCUGGGUUUAGAACGUCGUGAGACAGUUCGGUCCCUAUCUGCCGUGGGCGCUGGAGAACUGAGGGGGGCUGCUCCUAGUACGAGAGGACCGGAGUGGACGCAUCACUGGUGUUCGGGUUGUCAUGCCAAUGGCACUGCCCGGUAGCUAAAUGCGGAAGAGAUAAGUGCUGAAAGCAUCUAAGCACGAAACUUGCCCCGAGAUGAG